GGGCCCGCACAAGCGGUGGAGCAUGUGGUUUAAUUCGAAGCAACGCGAAGAACCUUACCAGCUCUUGACAUGGGGAUUCUGGGUUACAGAGAUGUGACCCUUCAGUUCGGCUGGAUCCCACACAGGUGCUGCA
RNAcentral lists this ribosomal RNA (133 nucleotides) under uncultured bacterium. Its description in RNAcentral is "partial 16S ribosomal RNA". It matches the Rfam family "Bacterial small subunit ribosomal RNA", at positions 917 to 1045 of the family's 1533-position model. The record is from RNAcentral.